GAUGAACGCUGGCGGCGUGCCUAACACAUGCAAGUCGAGCGAUUCUCUUCGGAGAAGAGCGGCGGACGGGUGAGUAACGCGUGGGUAACCUGCCUCAUACACAUGGAUAACAUACCGAAAGGUAUGCUAAUACAGGAUAACAUAAGAGAUUCGCAUGGAUUUCUUAUCAAAGCUCCGGCGGUAUGAGAUGGACCCGCGUCUGAUUAGCUAGUUGGUAAGGUAAUGGCUUACCAAGGCGACGAUCAGUAGCCGACCUGAGAGGGUGAUCGGCCACAUUGGAACUGAGACACGGUCCAAACUCCUACGGGAGGCAGCAGUGGGGAAUAUUGCACAAUGGGCGAAAGCCUGAUGCAGCAACGCCGCGUGAGCGAUGAAGGCCUUCGGGUCGUAAAGCUCUGUCCUCAAGGAAGAUAAUGACGGUACUUGAGGAGGAAGCCCCGGCUAACUACGUGCCAGCAGCCGCGGUAAUACGUAGGGGGCUAGCGUUAUCCGGAAUUACUGGGCGUAAAGGGUGCGUAGGUGGUUUCUUAAGUCAGAGGUGAAAGGCUACGGCUCAACCGUAGUAAGCCUUUGAAACUGGGAAACUUGAGUGCAGGAGAGGAGAGUGGAAUUCCUAGUGUAGCGGUGAAAUGCGUAGAUAUUAGGAGGAACACCAGUUGCGAAGGCGGCUCUCUGGACUGUAACUGACACUGAGGCACGAAAGCGUGGGGAGCAAACAGGAUUAGAUACCCUGGUAGUCCACGCCGUAAACGAUGAGUACUAGCUGUCGGAGGUUACCCCCUUCGGUGGCGCAGCUAACGCAUUAAGUACUCCGCCUGGGAAGUACGCUCGCAAGAGUG
This 839-nucleotide ribosomal RNA is filed under the name uncultured bacterium. RNAcentral describes it as "bacterial SSU rRNA". It matches the Rfam family "Bacterial small subunit ribosomal RNA", at positions 28 to 896 of the family's 1533-position model. The record is from RNAcentral.